RNAcentral lists this ribosomal RNA (440 nucleotides) under uncultured bacterium. RNAcentral describes it as "partial 16S ribosomal RNA". It matches the Rfam family "Bacterial small subunit ribosomal RNA", at positions 338 to 795 of the family's 1533-position model. The record is from RNAcentral.
CCUACGGGUGGCAGCAGUGGGGGAUAUUGCACAAUGGGGGAAACCCUGAUGCAGCGACGCCGCGUGUGGGAAGACGGUCCUCUGGAUUGUAAACCACUGUCCCCAGGGCCGAAGAUGACGGUACCUGGGGAGGAAGCUCCGGCUAACUCCGUGCCCGCAGCCGCGGUAAUACGUAGGGAGCGAGCGUUGUCCGGAAUUACUGGGUGUAAGGGGAGCGUAGGCGGGGAUGAACUUAGAGUGUCAAAACUACCGGCUCAACUGGGAGUCGCACUCAAAACUGCAGCUCUUGAGUGAAGGAGAGGCAGGCGGAAUUCCUAGUGUAGCGGUGAAAUGCGUAGAUAUUAGGAGGAACACCAGUGGCGAAGGCGGCCUGCUGGGCUUUAACUGACGCUGAGGCUCGAAAGUGUGGGGAGCAAACAGGAUUAGAUACCCCUGUAGUC